ACUGCUCAGUAACACGUGGAUAACCUGCCCUUGGGUCCGGCAUAACCCCGGGAAACUGGGGAUAAUUCCGGAUAACGCAUAUAUGCUGGAAUGCUUUAUGCGUCAAAUGGAUUCGUCUGCCCAAGGAUGGGUCUGCGGCCUAUCAGGUAGUAGUGGGUGUAAUGUACCUACUAGCCAACAACGGGUACGGGUUGUGAGAGCAAGAGCCCGGAGAUGGAUUCUGAGACAUGAAUCCAGGCCCUACGGGGCGCAGCAGGCGCGAAAACUUUACAAUGCGGGAAACCGUGAUGAGGGGACACCGAGUGCCAGCAUCAUAUGCUGGCUGUCCAGGUGUGUAAAAUACACCUGUUAGCAAGGGCCGGGCAAGACCGGUGCCAGCCGCCGCGGUAACACCGGCGGCCCGAGUGGUGAUCGUGAUUAUUGGGUCUAAAGGGUCCGUAGCCGGUUUGGUCAGUCCUCCGGGAAAUCUGAUAGCUCAACUAUUAGGCUUUCGGGGGAUACUGCCAGGCUUGGAACCGGGAGAGGUAAGAGGUACUACAGGGGUAGGAGUGAAAUCUUGUAAUCCCUGUGGGACCACCUGUGGCGAAGGCGUCUUACCAGAACGGGUUCGACGGUGGGGGACGAAAGCUGGGGGCACGAACCGGAUUAGAUACCCGGGUAGUCCCAGCCGUAAACGAUGCUCGCUAGGUGUCAGGCAUGGCGCGACCGUGUCUGGUGCCGCAGGGAAGCCGUGAAGCGAGCCACCUGGGAAGUACGGCCGCAAGGCUGAAACUUAAAGGAAUUGGCGGGGGAGCAC
RNAcentral lists this ribosomal RNA (796 nucleotides) under uncultured archaeon. RNAcentral describes it as "bacterial SSU rRNA". It matches the Rfam family "Archaeal small subunit ribosomal RNA", at positions 85 to 879 of the family's 1478-position model. The record is from RNAcentral.